UCCAGUUCUGGCAGCUCCAACCCUCUCCUCCACGUCCCCUGAGGCUGUACCCUUUCUCCCAAGUUUCCAGGCCGGGAUCCAUUCGAAGGGCCUGCCCAUCUCUCUACAAAUCGGGUUUCCGUCUUGCUGAUGCAGAUCCCAAAGCCAGAGCUUUCUUAAGUUGUCUUGGGCCCCACCUUCUGAAAUGGAAACUCUGAGGGAAGGCCAACUAACCCCGUAUUACUGUAUGUCAGACACUGGAAUACAAUGGGAAAAAUGAAAGUGUCCCUGCCUUUUAGGAGCCUUCCCCUGAUAGGGGGAUUAGAUUAGACCAGUAGAUACAGAACAAACCCAAAGUGGUUUAGGGAUGAGGGGGCAUCAGGAAAAACUCUGCCUAGAAAUUGGUGCCUGUCCUAAGAGGUUCCACAAAGCAGAGGUGAGGAGGAAGUAAGCUCCCAGGGAGAGAGAGCAGUUCAGUUUGACUGAACCAAAGACUUAGGGAAAAGAAAGAAAGGGGAGGGAGACUGUAAAUGCAGGUGCGGGACAAAUGGGAAGGACCUUAUUUAAAAGCCAAAUGGAAGUUUAUUGUUGUUGUUCAAUCAUUUUUCAAUUGUGUUUACUCUUCAAGACCCCAUUUGAAGUUUUCUUGGCAAAGAUACUGGGAUGGUUUGCCAUUUCCUAAAGGUCAAAGGGAGUAGCUGGACUUUAUUGAAUUGGGGGUGGGAUAGAAUUUCUAGAACUGAACUUUGGGAAACUCUUUGGCAGUGGGAUGGAGGAUAGACUGGCAUGGAGGCAGGGUGGACAACUAGGUGGUCAUUGGCAUGUGGUGAGCCGUGAGGCGCGACUACACUAGGCUGAUGAGAGAGAUCUAAGAGCCACCAUAGAAGCAGAAACAAGAUUUAGCCAGUGAUUGACUAUGUGGGGUGAAGGAGAGUGGGGAUCUAGAAAUGAAAAAAAAAAAAGAUUAUGCUCUAACUAAUAGUAGGGUAGGAACUCAGAAAACGUUCAGAGGAGCGGCUACAGAUGUUUGGGAGAGACGCUGUGACAUCUGUUAGUCUUUGCUGAGGGCAGGAAGAGUUGGAUUUUUGCAUUCCUGUUUCCAGCACCCAGCACAAGUAUCCGACACAAAAAGGUACCCAAUAAAGACGUCAAUAAAUGAAUGUAGUUGUCUGAAGCCAUGGUUACCAGGCUGAGAUUUUCAGUGGGAGAGUGGUGUGAGGAGAGGAUUCAUUGUGAGAGCAAGACCUUCCCACUGAACGGUAAGAUGUUCAUUUUUACAACUCCAAAUCCUGGAUUCCUUGGUGUUGUAAGCAGAGGGUUUUUCUCGGCCCACCAUUCUCUUUUGUCAAGCUCUCUAGAUCCCAGCCAUGGCCUGUCCUCCUACCUGGGGCCCCUCCUUUCAAGCCACGCCCUUCCUGGGACCCGUGCUUAUUAGAUCCCCAUUGCCUUGAAACUUCAAUGAGAACUUUCUGAGGUGGACGGAACAUGAGAAGAUUUGGGGCAUGGGGCCAGGCCUGCCCAAGCCUAGCUUCCUCAGGAGCUCAUGCAGCACACCUGGAUCUGCCUCCAGGCUCCAGCAGCAACUUUACAGGCCAACAAGGGCUGAAGCGGAGACCUGCCUUUCUCUUCUCACUCCAGAGCUCAACAGGGGCUAGCCCAGAAAAGCUUUGCCCCUUGUCUGGAGAGAGUGGCCUCUGGCUUUGUCGACGAGGGGGCACCUCCAGGGGCUGAGAAGACAGCCCCUCUUGUCACUUGUGCCAAUGACCUCAUCAGCUUCUAAAAGGAGGGUGCUAGACCCCUGAGGGGCAGAAUCAGAAGAAGGGUCUCCAACUUGCCACUCCAGUUAAGAGGCCAUGAUUCAACAAACAGCAGCACCAGAGUGGAGCAUGGGGUCAGUCCUGACCCAAGAAACAUCACAGGCCAUUUGAACCAACUCUUCCAGUAACAGAUGAGGAAACCAAGACCCAGAGAGAAAGUGGCUUAGCCAGAGCCCCUGACUGAGGCCCCAGGCACCUUGUUGACCGAAAAGGGCCUCUGGUCAAAGUGAAGGGUCAUGGGAUCCAAUCUAAUUCCUUUACUGAAGAAAAAACAGGUCAUCCAGGCAGUGAACAACAGAUCUAGGCCGACUAAGGACUUCCUCCAGACCCCUACCCAGGUUUUAGAGACAAAGUUAGCAUCCACAUAUGGAUUUUUUUUUCAAAGCGUUUAAGAAAAGAAUGGAGCGUGCCCUGAAUUCCUUGAUGAAAGAAUGAAUACCUUUUGUCCCUCUCUCCAGCCAUGGCAAGGCUUUGUUGGAAGAAAAGGGCCAAGAAGAGGCAAGGGCCUCCAGGAGGUAGAAGUCUGGGUAGCCAGUAGAUAAGGAGGGUGGCUUUUUAGUUCACAGUGAGCUUUACAGGUAAGAUCUCUGAUCCUCCCAGAGAGCAUUGUCUCCUACCAGUGUGGGAGACAGGGCACAAGCUAUUCCCACUUUACAGAUGGGAACACUGAGUCACAAGGGGUAGGUUGUCAUGCAGAGCUUCGACUGCCUGAGCUAGACACCAUGUUAGGGUUGUUUUGGCCAACAGCCUCAUUUCACAGCUGAGGAACCUGAGGUUCAGUGAGGGGUGGAGAAGAGUCUCCUGACCCUGUUCCUAGACCUUCAUUCUGCCUCUCCAGGUGACCUCUGUUCUCCUGCUGUCCCUGGGAGAAGAGUAACAUCAGCCUCUGCCCAUUUUGCCCUUGGUCCUAGUCAGAGCCAAACACUGCAACCCAAUGGGUGGUGCCCCCUCCCCCCCAAGGAUCUCCCACUCAAACCAUCAUUGUGUCAGUUAAAAUGAAAGGACCCUGCUGAUGGCUGGUCUAGCAGAUGUUCUCUGUAGGGGCUCCUGAGGGCUGCCCCUGCCCUGCCAGCUGGGCCCUCUGCCAGGCUGGGAGUCAUUGUUGUCUGGAUACAGAUGUCAACAAGCAGGUCAGCAUUUCUGCUAUAGCAAGAGUGGGCUGGUGCAGGUGAUGGGGGAGAGGAACUUGCAGCUCUGAUCCCCUGAGGCACUGAGUCCAGCCUUGAGUAGCCAGAGUAUCUUCCACUCUGCCCUGACCCCAAGCAACAUCUUCUUUGUCACGACUGCAGCAAUAAAAUGGGUCAAAGCUCCUAUCCCCGGACUGAAAGGAUCAUCUCCUUGCAGUUGAUCCCCAUCCCUGAGUGGGAAGGGGUCCUAGAAUCUCCUAAGAGACCCUUUGGCCCAAUAGGAGUCCCCUGGGCAACAUCCCUGACAGAGAAGCCUCCAGUCUCUGCUAGGAGAGCUCCAGUAAAGGAAACUCAUCAUCUCCUGGACAGGCUCACCCCUUGGGGUCAGCCCUCAUUGGGAAAACCAGACAGCAACCUAAUUCUGUCCUCUUGCUUCUGGUCCUGCCCAGUGGCACCAAGAACAAGGCUAGGCUCUCCUCUGGCAGGACAGGCCCAGCCACAACUAGCUCCUGCCCUCCUUGCACUCCACAGCCACCUGCCCUUCACUUGGUCAUCCAAGGCAAUAUAGAAUAUUUAGGAGUCUCCCUGCCAAGACAAACCCAGGAACUGUAUGAAGACAAUUAUAAAAUACUUUUUCACACAAAUAAAGUCAGGUCUAAACAACUGGAAAAUAUCAAUUGCUUAUGGGUAGGCCAAAUUAAUAUAAUAAAAAUCACAAUCUACCUAAAUUAAUUUACUUAUUCAAUGUCAUACCACAUUACCAAAAAUCAUUUUAUAGAGCUAGAAAAAACAGUAACAAAAUUCAUCUGGAAGAAGAAAAGGUCAAAAAUAUCAAGGGAAUUAAUGAAAACAAAUGUGAAAGAAGGUGGCCUAGCUCUACUAGAUCUCAAGUUGUAUUAUAAAGCAGUAAUUAACAAAACAUUUUGGUACUGGCUAAAAAGUAGACUGUUGGAGCAGAAGAAUAGAUCAGGCACACCAGAAAUAGUAGUAAAUGACCAUAGUGACACAGUGUUUGAUAAACCCAAAGACCCCAGAUUUGGGGACAAAAACUUACUAUCUAACCAAAAACUGCUGGGAAAACUGGAAUACAAUAGCAAAAAUUAAGUAUAAAUCAACAUCUUAUACAGCAUAUUAAGAUGACAUCAAAAUAAAUAAAUUCUUCCUUUCUCCAUAGAUCUGAUAGGUAAACUAUUCAAUUCUCUGGAGAAAGGAAGAAUUUAAGACCAAACAAGAAACCGAGAGCAUUGCUAGAUAUAAAAUGAGCAAUUUUGAAUAUAUUAAAUUAAAAAGGGUUUGCACAAACAAAAACCACUGCAAUCAAGAUUAGAAGGAAAACAAAAAAACUGGGGAACAAUUUUUACAGCAACUUUCUCUGAUAAAGACCUCAUUCUCAAUUAUAUAAAGAAUUGAACCAAAUAUACAAGAAAUAAGUCAUUCCCCAAUUGAUAAAUGAUCAGUGGAUAUAAACAGUGUUCAGAUGAAAGCUACAGCCAUAUAAAAACCUUUUAAAUCACUAUUGAUCAGAAAAAUGCCAAUGAUAACAUCUCACACCUAUCAGAUUGGCUAAUAUGACAGGAAAGGAAAAUAAUAAAUGUUGGAAGGUUUGUGGGAAAAGUGGGACACUAAUGUACUCACUGUCGGUGAGAUUGUGAAUUGAUGCAACCACUCUGGAGAGCAAUUUGGAACUUUGCUUUAAUACUGCAUACCCUUUGACCCAGAAAUGAGACUAUAUUCCAAAGAAAAGUUUUAAAAAUUGGAAAAGGACCUAGUUAUCCAAAAACUAUUUAUAGCAGUUUUUGUGGCAAAGAACUAGAAAUUAAGGUGAUGCCCAUCAAUUGGGGAAAUGACCGGACAAGUUGUAGUUUAAGAUUACAUUGGAAUAUUACUGUGCUGUAAGAAAUGAGCAGUGUGUUUCAGAAAAAACCUGGAAAAAUUGAACUAGGAUAUUGUACAGAGUAACAGCAAUACUGUAUGGUGGUUAGUUGUUAAUAACUUAGCUAUUCUCAGCAAUACAAUGAUUCAAAACAAUUCCAAAAAAUUCAUGAAGAAAAUCAAAAUCCAUUUCCAGAGAAAGAACUGAUGGAGUAUUAAUGCAGAUCAAUAGUUAUGUAAAUGGGGCUGAGCUGGACCUCCCCCAGAAGAACAGAGCAGCCAUAAAUGGCCAGCCCCUCACUCCCCAUUUCUGCCCCCAACAUGUUCCUCAAGUUUCCUCUACAUUUUGUGCUGCCCAGAGAUUCCCUCCAAGUUACAUUAACUAUGAGGUUUGGCUUUUUAGGCAGAGAAAGGUUGGGGAGAAGAAGGAGGUGGGGGGAGGGGAAAAGGGGAGCCCCCAGUAACAAAAAGGGGAACUGGAGGGACAGCCAAAGAGCCAGCGUGGCUCACACCCCUCCCACAGAACUGGAGCUUCUUAGCCCGGAGCUGAAAGCCAUUGGCCUUCUGUAUACACUUGUGUGGACAAGGAUGACGCAGGGAGGAAGCCGCUCCACAGAGUGAAGUUAAUCUAGCCCUUCAAUACCCCGUAGCAGGGCUCAAGUGGGUCGGGUGCCCCCACUGGCUCCCUCAGACCCUGCUCAGCCAAAGGUCACCAGCUACUUCUAGUUCUCCCAGCUCCCAGCAGGGUCAGGGUGAAGGGGUCCCAUCAUGCACAUUGGGCAGACGUAGCUGCUUCCUUUCUCGUGGUCAGUUUUAGUCAAGCUUCAUUUCCCCAACGCUACUGGAUGGUCACUACAAGGGCCAAUGUCGGGAAUGCCCCCAUAGGUCUCCGUGGUAGCUCCCCCACACGGAGCACUCAGUCCCUGGGUUUCUAUGCCUGGGGAACCCCUAGGACAUGCAUCACACAUGCAUGUGCACAAACGUGUCCGUGGGACCGUGGGACCGUGGGACCGUGGGAGAUCACUUCCAGGGACGAGCUCCAACCCCCUGAGUGGGUAAAUGACACAUCAGGUCCAGCUCUUCCCGCUGCAAA
This 5888-nucleotide long non-coding RNA is filed under the name Sarcophilus harrisii (Tasmanian devil). Its description in RNAcentral is "lncRNA (ENSSHAG00000025974.1)". The record is from RNAcentral. Lineage: Eukaryota; Metazoa; Chordata; Mammalia; Dasyuromorphia; Dasyuridae.